GAAGCUUGCUUCUCUGAUGUUAGCGGCGGACGGGUGAGUAACACGUGGAUAACCUACCUAUAAGACUGGGAUAACUUCGGGAAACCGGAGCUAAUACCGGAUAAUAUUUUGAACCGCAUGGUUCAAAAGUGAAAGACGGUCUUGCUGUCACUUAUAGAUGGAUCCGCGCUGCAUUAGCUAGUUGGUAAGGUAACGGCUUACCAAGGCAACGAUGCAUAGCCGACCUGAGAGGGUGAUCGGCCACACUGGAACUGAGACACGGUCCAGACUCCUACGGGAGGCAGCAGUAGGGAAUCUUCCGCAAUGGGCGAAAGCCUGACGGAGCAACGCCGCGUGAGUGAUGAAGGUCUUCGGAUCGUAAAACUCUGUUAUUAGGGAAGAACAUAUGUGUAAGUAACUGUGCACAUCUUGACGGUACCUAAUCAGAAAGCCACGGCUAACUACGUGCCAGCAGCCGCGGUAAUACGUAGGUGGCAAGCGUUAUCCGGAAUUAUUGGGCGUAAAGCGCGCGUAGGCGGUUUUUUAAGUCUGAUGUGAAAGCCCACGGCUCAACCGUGGAGGGUCAUUGGAAACUGGAAAACUUGAGUGCAGAAGAGGAAAGUGGAAUUCCAUGUGUAGCGGUGAAAUGCGCAGAGAUAUGGAGGAACACCAGUGGCGAAGGCGACUUUCUGGUCUGUAACUGACGCUGAUGUGCGAAAGCGUGGGGAUCAAACAGGAUUAGAUACCCUGGUAGUCCACGCCGUAAACGAUGAGUGCUAAGUGUUAGGGGGUUUCCGCCCCUUAGUGCUGCAGCUAACGCAUUAAGCACUCCGCCUGGGGAGUACGACCGCA
RNAcentral lists this ribosomal RNA (831 nucleotides) under uncultured Staphylococcus sp. RNAcentral's name for it is "bacterial SSU rRNA". It matches the Rfam family "Bacterial small subunit ribosomal RNA", at positions 75 to 890 of the family's 1533-position model. The record is from RNAcentral. Lineage: Bacteria; Bacillati; Bacillota; Bacilli; Caryophanales; Staphylococcaceae.